GACGAACGCUGGCGGCGUGCUUAACACAUGCAAGUCGAACGGAAAGGCCCUGCUUGCAGGGUACUCGAGUGGCGAGCGGGUGAGUAACACGUGGGUGAUCUGCCCUGCACUUCGGGAUAAGCCUGGGAAACUGGGUCUAAUACCGGAUAGGAGCCAUUUUUAGUGUGAUGGUUGGAAAGUUUUUUCGGUGUAGGAUGAGCUCGCGGCCUAUCAGCUUGUUGGUGGGGUAAUGGCCUACCAAGGCGGCGACGGGUAGCCGGCCUGAGAGGGUGGACGGCCACAUUGGGACUGAGAUACGGCCCAGACUCCUACGGGAGGCAGCAGUGGGGAAUAUUGCACAAUGGGCGCAAGCCUGAUGCAGCGACGCCGCGUGGGGGAUGACGGCCUUCGGGUUGUAAACUCCUUUCGCUAGGGACGAAGCUUUUUGUGACGGUACCUAGAGAAGAAGCACCGGCUAACUACGUG
This 465-nucleotide ribosomal RNA is filed under the name uncultured bacterium. Its description in RNAcentral is "partial 16S ribosomal RNA". It matches the Rfam family "Bacterial small subunit ribosomal RNA", at positions 28 to 507 of the family's 1533-position model. The record is from RNAcentral.